This 440-nucleotide ribosomal RNA is filed under the name uncultured bacterium. RNAcentral's name for it is "partial 16S ribosomal RNA". It matches the Rfam family "Bacterial small subunit ribosomal RNA", at positions 338 to 795 of the family's 1533-position model. The record is from RNAcentral.
CCUACGGGCGGCAGCAGUGGGGAAUAUUGCACAAUGGGGGAAACCCUGAUGCAGCGACGCCGCGUGAAGGUAGGAGUAUUUCGGUAUGUAAACUUCUAUCAGCAGGGAAGAAAAUGACUGUACCUUACUAAGACGCCCCGGCUAACUACGUGCCAGCAGCCGCGGUAAUACGUAGGGGGCAAGCGUUAUCCGGCUUUACUGGGUGUAAAGGGAGCGUAGGCGGUUCAGCAAGUCAGAAGUGAAAGCCCGGGUCUCAACUCCUGGACUGCUUUUGAAACUGUUGAACUAGAUUGCAGGAGAGGUAAGUGGAAUGCCUAGUGUAGCGGUGAAAUGCGUAGAUAUUAGGAGGAACACCAGUGGCGAAGGCGGCUGACGGGACUGUAAAUGACGCUGAGGCUCGAAAGCGUGGGGAGCAAACAGGAUUAGAUACCCCAGUAGUC